Molecule: antisense RNA, 149 nt
Filed under: Photorhabdus asymbiotica
Lineage: Bacteria; Pseudomonadati; Pseudomonadota; Gammaproteobacteria; Enterobacterales; Morganellaceae
Description: sok antitoxin
Rfam family: sok antitoxin (CssrC)
About the family: Also identified in Shigella as CssrC.
Source: RNAcentral
GGGCGCUUGAGACUAUCUGUCUCUGGCGUGCUGGAGCGGAUAGAAGAAAGCCCCAAAUGAUCUUUCAAUCAAUUUGAGGCCCAUCUAAUGCUUCGCAACAUAAGAUUAGCCUCUUACCUAACAAGAAGCAAGGAGAGAAGGCUAUGAAG